RNAcentral lists this ribosomal RNA (298 nucleotides) under uncultured bacterium. Its description in RNAcentral is "partial 16S ribosomal RNA". It matches the Rfam family "Bacterial small subunit ribosomal RNA", at positions 30 to 327 of the family's 1533-position model. The record is from RNAcentral.
AUUGAACGCUGGCGGCAUGCCUUACACAUGCAAGUCGAACGGCAGCACGGGGGGCAACCCUGGUGGCGAGUGGCGAACGGGUGAGUAAUAUAUCGGAACGUGCCCUAGAGUGGGGGAUAACGUAGCGAAAGUUACGCUAAUACCGCAUACGAUCUAAGGAUGAAAGCGGGGGAUCGCAAGACCUCGCGCUCGUGGAGCGGCCGAUAUCUGAUUAGCUAGUUGGAGGGUAAAAGACCUACCAAGGCGACGAUCAGUAGCUGGUCUGAGAGGACGACCAGCCACACUGGGACUGAGACAC